Molecule: non-coding RNA, 73 nt
Organism: Dipodomys ordii (Ord's kangaroo rat)
Lineage: Eukaryota; Metazoa; Chordata; Mammalia; Rodentia; Heteromyidae
Source: Rfam
GGGAAGGUGGCUCAGUGGUAAGAGCGCUUGCCUUGCAUGCCUGAGGCCCUGGGUUCGAUUCCCAGCCCACAUA